Molecule: ribosomal RNA, 228 nt
Filed under: Clostridioides difficile
Lineage: Bacteria; Bacillati; Bacillota; Clostridia; Peptostreptococcales; Peptostreptococcaceae
Description: partial 23S ribosomal RNA
Rfam family: Bacterial large subunit ribosomal RNA
Source: RNAcentral
AGUCCACAUCGACGGGGAGGUUUGGCACCUCGAUGUCGGCUCAUCACAUCCUGGGGCUGUAGUAGGUCCCAAGGGUUGGGCUGUUCGCCCAUUAAAGUGGUACGCGAGCUGGGUUCAGAACGUCGUGAGACCGUUCGGUCCCUAUCCGUCGCAGGCGUAGGAAAUUUGAGAAGACCUGUCCUUAGUACGAGAGGACCGGGAUGGACGUACCUCUGGUGUACCAGUUGU